UAGUGGCGAACGGGUGAGUAACACGUGGGCAAUCUGCCCUUCACUCUGGGACAAGCCCUGGAAACGGGGUCUAAUACCGGAUAACACUGCGGAUCGCAUGGUCUGCGGUUAAAAGCUCCGGCGGUGAAGGAUGAGCCCGCGGCCUAUCAGCUUGUUGGUGAGGUAGUGGCUCACCAAGGCGACGACGGGUAGCCGGCCUGAGAGGGCGACCGGCCACACUGGGACUGAGACACGGCCCAGACUCCUACGGGAGGCAGCAGUGGGGAAUAUUGCACAAUGGGCGAAAGCCUGAUGCAGCGACGCCGCGUGAGGGAUGACGGCCUUCGGGUUGUAAACCUCUUUCAGCAGGGAAGAAGCGAAAGUGACGGUACCUGCAGAAGAAGCGCCGGCUAACUACGUGCCAGCAGCCGCGGUAAUACGUAGGGCGCAAGCGUUGUCCGGAAUUAUUGGGCGUAAAGAGCUCGUAGGCGGCUUGUCACGUCGAUUGUGAAAGCCCGAGGCUUAACCUCGGUUCUGCAGUCGAUACGGGCUAGCUAGAGUGUGGUAGGGGAGAUCGGAAUUCCU
RNAcentral lists this ribosomal RNA (564 nucleotides) under Streptomyces sp. 384B12. RNAcentral describes it as "bacterial SSU rRNA". It matches the Rfam family "Bacterial small subunit ribosomal RNA", at positions 93 to 671 of the family's 1533-position model. The record is from RNAcentral. Lineage: Bacteria; Bacillati; Actinomycetota; Actinomycetes; Kitasatosporales; Streptomycetaceae.